CGGACGGGUGAGUAACGCGUGGGUAACCUGCCUUAUACAGGGGGAUAACAGUUGGAAACGGCUGCUAAUACCGCAUAAGCGCACGGCAUCGCAUGAUGCAGUGUGAAAAACUCCGGUGGUAUAAGAUGGACCCGCGUUGGAUUAGCUAGUUGGUGAGGUAACGGCCCACCAAGGCGACGAUCCAUAGCCGACCUGAGAGGGUGACCGGCCACAUUGGGACUGAGACACGGCCCAA
Molecule: ribosomal RNA, 235 nt
Filed under: uncultured bacterium
Lineage: Bacteria
Description: partial 16S ribosomal RNA
Rfam family: Bacterial small subunit ribosomal RNA
Source: RNAcentral